AGGGCACCACCAGGAGUGGAGCCUGCGGCUUAAUUUGACUCAACACGGGAAAACUCACCCGGCCCGGACACUGGAAGGAUUGACAGAUUGAGAGCUCUUUCUUGAUUCAGUGGGUGGUGGUGCAUGGCCGUUCUUAGUUGGUGGAGUGAUUUGUCUGGUUAAUUCCGAUAACGAACGAGACUCUAGCCUACUAAAUAGAUCGUCGGCUUACAAACGCCGGCGAGACUUCUUAGAGGGACAGGCGGUGAUUCAACCGCACGAAACAGAGCAAUAACAGGUCUGUGAUGCCCUUAGAUGUCCGGGGCCGCACGCGCGCUACACUGAAGUGAUCAGCGUGCUUUUUCAACCUACUCUGUCAAGAGUGGGGAACCCAAUGAACCUUCUUCGUGAUUGGGAUAGGGGAUUGUAAUUAUUCCCCUUGAACGAGGAAUUCCCAGUAAGCGCGAGUCAUAAGCUCGCGUUGAUUACGUCCCUGCCCUUUGUACACACCGCCCGUCGCUACUACCGAUUGAACGAUUU
This 519-nucleotide ribosomal RNA is filed under the name uncultured eukaryote. RNAcentral's name for it is "SSU rRNA". It matches the Rfam family "Eukaryotic small subunit ribosomal RNA", at positions 1161 to 1699 of the family's 1831-position model. The record is from RNAcentral.